ACUUUCAACAACGGAUCUCUUGCUCUCGCAUCGAUGAAGAACGCAGCGAAUUGCGAUAAGUAAUGUGAAUUGCAGAAUACCGUGAAUCAUCGAAUCUUUGAACGCAUAUUGCACUCUCUGGUAUCCGGGGAGUAUGCCUGUUUGAGGGUCAGU
RNAcentral lists this ribosomal RNA (153 nucleotides) under Rhizophagus clarus. RNAcentral describes it as "5.8S ribosomal RNA". It matches the Rfam family "5.8S ribosomal RNA". Rfam says of the family: 5.8S ribosomal RNA (5.8S rRNA) is a component of the large subunit of the eukaryotic ribosome. The record is from RNAcentral. Lineage: Eukaryota; Fungi; Glomeromycota; Glomeromycetes; Glomerales; Glomeraceae.